This 250-nucleotide ribosomal RNA is filed under the name uncultured archaeon. Its description in RNAcentral is "partial 16S ribosomal RNA". It matches the Rfam family "Archaeal small subunit ribosomal RNA", at positions 474 to 724 of the family's 1478-position model. The record is from RNAcentral.
UACCAGCACCCCGAGUGGUCGGGACGAUUAUUGGGCCUAAAGCAUCCGUAGCCGGUUCUACAAGUCUUCCGUUAAAUCCACCUGCUCAACAGUUGGGCUGCGGAGGAUACUAUAGAGCUAGGAGGCGGGAGAGGCAAGCGGUACUUAGUGGGUAGGGGUAAAAUCCGUUGAUCCAUUGAAGACCACCAGUGGCGAAGGCGGCUUGCCAGAACGCACUCGACGGUGAGGGAUGAAAGCUGGGGGAGCAAAC